Molecule: long non-coding RNA, 462 nt
Filed under: Sinocyclocheilus grahami
Lineage: Eukaryota; Metazoa; Chordata; Actinopteri; Cypriniformes; Cyprinidae
Description: lncRNA (ENSSGRG00000046636.1)
Source: RNAcentral
AAAUCCUAACCGUGUGUGUGUCUGUGUUUCUCUCAGGAUGUGUCUGGCGUGAUGUUUGCAGGCUGUUAUGCUGAUGUAUUCAGUACGGACACGCUGAUGGAGUCUUUGGAGCGACGGCUACAGAGACCUCUCUUGGCCAAAUCCAGGACAUUACCCAGCAUCCCUCAGUCCCCAGCCGCCAUCCGUGUGCAGCAGUCAGAGAACGUUUGUGAACGUCAACGGCGCCCGCGUGUUCCCUCCAGCCCUGGUGGUCUUGAAGCGUGUACGCUGCCUCCCGCAGGCGAGAUGUGGCGGCUGGAAGAUGAAAAUGAGGCAGACGUGACUCCGGGUGCUGUCGACCCGCGGCCGCGCUCUCAGUCGCCAUUCUCACAUUUCCGGCGGCGGGCGGCGUAUCUGAGGAAAAGCAUCUCGGCCGAUGAUCACCUGGGAGAGGCUGAGUUUGAACCCGCCCAGCCGGAGGGG